This 394-nucleotide ribosomal RNA is filed under the name uncultured bacterium. Its description in RNAcentral is "bacterial SSU rRNA". It matches the Rfam family "Bacterial small subunit ribosomal RNA", at positions 28 to 417 of the family's 1533-position model. The record is from RNAcentral.
GAUGAACGCUAGCUACAGGCUUAACACAUGCAAGUCGAGGGGCAGCACAAGGCAGCAAUGCUGAGGUGGCGACCGGCGCACGGGUGCGUAACGCGUAUCCAACCUUCCCGUUACUCUUGGAUAGCCUUCCGAAAGGGAGAUUAAUACAAGAUGGUGUUGAAAUUCCGCAUGUUAUUUCAACUAAAGAUUUAUCGGUAACGGAUGGGGAUGCGUGACAUUAGAUAGAUGGCGGGGUAACGGCCCACCAUGUCCACGAUGUCUAGGGGUUCUGAGAGGAAGGUCCCCCANACUGGAACUGAGACACGGUCCAGACUCCUACGGGAGGCAGCAGUGAGGAAUAUUGGUCAAUGGCCGGAAGGCUGAACCAGCCAAGUAGCGUGAAGGAUGAAGGUUC